AGCGAGAGGUGCUUGCACCUUUCAAGCGAGUGGCGAACGGGUGAGUAACACGUGGAUAACCUGCCUCAAGGCUGGGGAUAACAUUUGGAAACAGAUGCUAAUACCGAAUAAAACUUAGUAUCGCAUGAUAUCAAGUUAAAAGGCGCUACGGCGUCACCUAGAGAUGGAUCCGCGGUGCAUUAGUUAGUUGGUGGGGUAAAGGCUUACCAAGACGAUGAUGCAUAGCCGAGUUGAGAGACUGAUCGGCCACAUUGGGACUGAGACACGGCCCAAACUCCUACGGGAGGCUGCAGUAGGGAAUCUUCCACAAUGGGCGCAAGCCUGAUGGAGCAACGCCGCGUGUGUGAUGAAGGCUUUCGGGUCGUAAAGCACUGUUGUAUGGGAAGAAAUGCUAAAAUAGGGAAUGAUUUUAGUUUGACGGUACCAUACCAGAAAGGGACGGCUAAAUACGUGCCAGCAGCCGCGGUAAUACGUAUGUCCCGAGCGUUAUCCGGAUUUAUUGGGCGUAAAGCGAGCGCAGACGGUUGAUUAAGUCUGAUGUGAAAGCCCGGAGCUCAACUCCGGAAUGGCAUUGGAAACUGGUUAACUUGAGUGUUGUAGAGGUAAGUGGAACUCCAUGGG
Molecule: ribosomal RNA, 621 nt
Filed under: Leuconostoc sp.
Lineage: Bacteria; Bacillati; Bacillota; Bacilli; Lactobacillales; Lactobacillaceae
Description: bacterial SSU rRNA
Rfam family: Bacterial small subunit ribosomal RNA
Source: RNAcentral